Pseudophryne corroboree (corroboree frog) is the source of this 428-nucleotide long non-coding RNA. RefSeq lists it as uncharacterized. The record is from RefSeq and is a predicted model, not a curated record. Lineage: Eukaryota; Metazoa; Chordata; Amphibia; Anura; Myobatrachidae. The transcript is spliced from 3 exons.
CUCUGCUGGGCCAGUCCCUCUAUAUGUGCUGCGAAUCAGAAGACUGCAGGGCUUGUUCCCUCUCCGUUGCCGUGGGAGCACUCCCCUCCGGCUCUCCGUCUGAACAGCCGCUCUCUGCGCCGCCUCCGCUCAGCCAGCUGCCCCUUCUCCCGCUGAGCCCAACAGGACUUCCAGGAAUUUUGAAAUGGAGAAUGUUCGCUAUUUGAGGAUGUAGGGUUUAGUUGCCUCAGCCAGCUUUACGCACAUUUUCAGGGUGGAUGUGUGACGUCAUCUCCGGCACCGAUCAGCCUGUAUUCUUCGAAUGGAGGAGUAAGUAUUGAGAUACGCACAGACUGCACACACUGCACAGAAUGGGAAAAAACAUUCAAUGGUGAGUGUGAUGCGAACGGGUUUUGCAGCUGUCUGCUGACUGAGGGGAAUAUUCGCAC